Molecule: ribosomal RNA, 253 nt
Filed under: uncultured bacterium
Lineage: Bacteria
Description: partial 16S ribosomal RNA
Rfam family: Bacterial small subunit ribosomal RNA
Source: RNAcentral
UACGUAGGGUGCAAGCGUUAUCCGGAAUGAUUGGGCGUAAAGAGCUCGUAGGCGGUUUGUCACGUCUGCUGUGAAAUCCCGAGGCUCAACCUCGGGCCUGCAGUGGGUACGGGCAGACUGGAGUGCGGUAGGGGAGAAUGGAAUUCCUGGUGUAGCGGUGGAAUGCGCAGAUAUCAGGAGGAACACCGAUGGCGAAGGCAGUUCUCUGGGCCGACACUGACACUGAGAGACGAAAGCUAGGGGAGCGAAUGGG